UUUGUACAGCCACGGAAGGAGCUUGGUAGGAUCAUAUAAGAUGAGGAAGAAACCCUUCGGUCAGAAUUGCGAUUCUCUGGAAUUUUUUUAAAAGCCUAGAGGGCCAAUAAUUGUACAUACUCAAAAUAGAAACAAAUAGAUUUUUGGAUACUAACAGAAUUAAGGGAUGCAGGAACAGGUUAGAAUGUGCAGUUAAGAUAGAAAAUUAGCCAUGAUCACACUGAAUGGUAGUGAAGACUCACAGCCGAAUGGCUCGCUCCUAAUCUUCUUUUGCAUCAGCAUUAAUUCUAUCAAUUGUGUGCUCUGCCUGAAGCAGGAGAGACAAGGAUACAAGGGCACAGCCACACAGUGAAGGGGCGACCUUCAGAAUUGUGAUGAAAAGGAAUUUCUUCAGCCAGAGAGUGGCAAACCUGUGGAAACCAUUACCAUGGAAAGCUGUGGAGGCCAAGUCAUUCAACAUCUUUAAAAGAGACUGGGAUUUGAAUCCAAGAUCUUCUGGCUCAGAAGACAGACUGCCAUCACAGAGUCAAAGCUAAGACGCUCCAAUACAAACAGAAGAUAGCCCGCCAGUUUCAAGAAAUUUGUCAAGUGGGCUAAACAGAAAUACUAACAGGCAAGAUGCUUUGAAUUUUCCCCACAGCUAAAACAAACUUGUUUUGUAUCAGAAUAAAUCAUUUACCUUCCUAGACAGCCCAUGCCUAACAAAUGGCUGAUUUCAUGGAGUUUUUAUUAGCAGAAAUAAUUUGAAUGGUUUGCUGAGAUAGACAUUUUUAUUGUAAGAUUGUGUGUGUUUUGGAUGGACUGGGUGCAAAUGCAGAACUGGAAAUGCAGCCUGGGGAACUGAUUUACACCUUCUACUGAAUCCCAACAACUUCAACAGCAAACCAAACCA
Molecule: long non-coding RNA, 892 nt
Organism: Stegostoma tigrinum
Lineage: Eukaryota; Metazoa; Chordata; Chondrichthyes; Orectolobiformes; Stegostomatidae
Exons: 3
Source: RefSeq, a predicted model, not a curated record